Molecule: ribosomal RNA, 253 nt
Filed under: uncultured bacterium
Lineage: Bacteria
Description: partial 16S ribosomal RNA
Rfam family: Bacterial small subunit ribosomal RNA
Source: RNAcentral
UACGUAGGGUCCGAGCGUUGUCCGGAAUUAUUGGGCGUAAAGAGCUCGUAGGCGGUUUGUCGCGUCGGCCGUGAAAUCUCCACGCUUAACGUGGAGCGUGCGGUCGAUACGGGCAGACUUGAGUUCGGUAGGGGAGACUGGAAUUCCUGGUGUAGCGGUGAAAUGCGCAGAUAUCAGGAGGAACACCGGUGGCGAAGGCGGGUCUCUGGGCCGAUAUUGACGCUGAGGAGCGAAAGCGUGGGGAGCGAACAGG